CAGCAGCCGCGGUAAUUCCAGCUCCAAUAGCGUAUACUAAAGUUGUUGCGGUUAAAAAGCUCGUAGUUGGAUCUUGGAAUGUGUUCAAGCGGGUCAGCUUCUGGCUGUGCGCUGCUUGACGUGUUCUUCUAUUUGGUUUUGGUGCGGUGCGCUUAACUGCGUGUCGCUCCCGGCCGAAACGUUUACCUUGAAAAAAUUAGAGUGUUCAAAGCAGACCUGUUUGAGUCUGAAUAUUCGUGCAUGGAAUAAUGAAAUAUGAAUUCGGUUCUAUUUUGUUGGUUUUCGGAACUCGAGUUAAUGAUCAAGAGGGACAGACGGGGGCAUUCGUACUCUGCCGUUAGAGGUGAAAUUCUUGGAUCGACGGAAGACGCGCAACUGCGAAAGCAUUUGCCAAGAAUGUUUUCUUUAAUCAAGAACGAUAGUCGGAGGUUCGAAGACGAUCAGAUACCGUCCUAGUUUCGACUGUAAACUAUGCCAGCUAACGAUCAGACAGAGUUCUCUACGACUUGUCUGGCAGUUUCCGGGAAACCAAAGCGUUUGGGUUCCGGGGGAAGUAUGGUUGCAAAGCUGAAACUUAAAGGAAUUGACGGAAGGGCACCACCAGGAGUGGAGCCUGCGGCUUAAUUUGACUCAACACGGGGAAACUCACCCGGCCCGGACACAGUGAGGAUUGACAGAUUGAGAGUUCUUUCUUGAUUCUGUGGGUGGUGGUGCAUGGCCGUUCUUAGUUGGUGGAGCGAUUUGUCUGGUUAAUUCCGAUAACGAACGAGACUCUGGCAUGUUAAAUAGUCGCGGAAGUGCGUAUGCACUUGCCGAAUUGACUUCUUAGAGGGACUAGUGAUUUUAAUUCACACGAGAUUGAGCAAUAACAGGUCUGUGAUGC
This 883-nucleotide ribosomal RNA is filed under the name uncultured eukaryote. RNAcentral's name for it is "SSU rRNA". It matches the Rfam family "Eukaryotic small subunit ribosomal RNA", at positions 568 to 1470 of the family's 1831-position model. The record is from RNAcentral.